Long non-coding RNA from Marmota monax (woodchuck), 3014 nucleotides. RefSeq lists it as uncharacterized. The record is from RefSeq and is a predicted model, not a curated record. The transcript has 4 exons. Lineage: Eukaryota; Metazoa; Chordata; Mammalia; Rodentia; Sciuridae.
GCCCCCCACGUCCCCCCAGUAGGAGAGGGAGGGUCUCCGAUUGGAAGCCAAGGGGGGGGCACAUCUGCAACUAGAGAUGAGGUGCUGAGGCUGGCCCAGGUGGCUGCGCUGACACGUGGGGAGAGCUGACCCGAAACGCGGCCAGCACCAAGGUGAGGGACGGCCAGGAGGGCCAGCAGGUUGUGCGCACACUGUGACCGUUACCGUCCUCCGCAGCGUGAUUCACACCUCGCAGAGAAAGGCUGAAACGAAGAAAGGGAUAAAGAAAACAGUGACCAGAAAAGGCGCGCAGCAGCUCAGAAAACAGAACAUCUGUGAAGGCAGGGUUGGCACAUAGACCACGUCCCUCCACCCCUGGAAACCUGCAGCGGAUCUCAGUGACAAGGCACACCUCUCAGCACGUGGGACCAGGGGGACUGCUAAGCAAGCCGCGGAGGCACUCAGGUCUGUUAUCCAGAUGGCAAAACAAGCCAGGGCAGACGCCACCAGGGCUCGGGUCUCUUCUGCUCCCUCUUCCUCACUGACUGGACCCCGAUUUUGAGUGGGUGCAACGUGCCAGGCAACCCCACCCCCUCCCAGCCUCCCUGCAGCCUGGGCCUGCGAGAGAGAAGUCUCCUGGGCAGGGCUCCGAGGAGGUCACCAAGCCCCUGAGCUGGGCCCUCCUGGCCCUUCCCUGCCCUCCUGCCCUGGCUGAGCACAGGUGCCAGGCAGCCAAGAGCACUUUGGAAGUCACAUCCCAGAGAGGGAGACCGACAGGGAAACUGGCCCUUGGGGACAUCUCGGAGCAAGUCAGCGGCUGGGGCCUGCUCAGCCCGCGUCUCUGGCACCAGGUGACAGUGACCUGCACGCGGCCGCUGGGACCUGUUGUGCUUUCCUUGCCGCCAAAAGCCCUCCGGAGACGAGGAGAUGCAGGGACUCCCCGGGACUCUGUGACCAGUGUCCCUCCUGCAGCUCAGCCUUCCUCUAGGAGAACCGAACUAUAGCUGGAGCCUGGCCCGGCCUCUCCUGGCCGAAUCAGCGUCUGCCGCCCUCCUCUGGGCCACACGGGGGCAGGUGGAGGGACCCUUGAAGGGAGUCGGCUUUCGGGGAAGGCUCCGUUCUCCAGAUGGCGGGACUCACGCCCGGUCUGACCCGCGGGAGACACAGUGGACCAGCCAGACCGGCUGCCCGCUCACGACCCCCAGCCCAGACCUGCAGACCCCCGACAGUGGCCAGGAGGCCUCGCCCACCUGUUUGUCCUCCUCUUCCCAGAAGCAGGAGGCCAGCUCCCUUUAUCUCAGGCCAAAGUCCCCCUGGGCACCAGGAGGAAUGUCACCUGUCAUCACGGGAAGGAUGAGUCACCUCCUGGUGGCUGGAGGCCACAGCCCGCCUGACCUCUCUCUCCUGGCCAAUGGCUCUCCUGGGUGGGGGGAUGGGAUUGUUGCCCUAAGACUGUGACACAGCCAUCGUCCCUGGGGUGCUGACCUGGAGCGGGCCCCAGCAGGCUAAGGGCACAGCCUGGGUUCAGAGCCCCCCCCCCCGCCCCAUGCCCUAGCCUCGUGACCUGGGCGGCCCCUUGCUAGACCUGUCGCCAGUCUUGAUUGGACAGAUGUCAGUUAGGCCAGCACUCAGGAGCAGGAGGGGUGCGGAAGGCACUCGGGCACCCGGGCCAGCCGAGCCGCGGAGCACAGGGGCAGAGACGCUCAGAACCGUCUCGACGAUGAUCUUAAUAAGUGCAAACUGUUGUGUGUUAACUGAGGUUGGGCGACUUGGAGAGAAGGAAGGAGAGGGCAUGGAGCACUGAUGAAGGGGACCUGUUGACUUCCAGGGUGUUCCAGGAGGCCCCUGGACACGUUCACAGUUGGGAAAGGCCUGAGGAGCUGGGGCAGGGUGCUCAUUGGCUACCUCUGGGAAGGGAGAGAGGGAGAGGAAAGAGCAGGUGCAAAGGCCCUGAGGCCACGGAGUGCCCAGUGUGUUCUGGGAGCAGGAGGCUAGCGUGUCUGAAGGGAGCCAGCACACAGGCAGGGGACGUGGGAACAGCAGCCACCCCAGACCUGGGGACAACCAGGACCUUGUCUUUCUGGGCCACCUGGGAGCCUCAGGAAGAUGCUGAGAAGAGGAGGGGUGGGACUUGACUUCCUUCAGGUAGUGAGACGAUGGCGGAGCGGAGGCAGCACGGGGGAGCGCUGGCAGGGUGUGGCUGUGUGGUCCUGGAAGGGGUGGGGUGGGGCUGGAGAAGCAGGACACUGAGGCUUUUGGCCGGGCCUAGAAGGACAGAGGCGCCAUUUUUGAGGCCAAGGGGACUGUGGGGGAACAAGGGGCUCUGCUCUUCCCAGGUCCCCACCCAGCACGUUCCUCUGUGGCUGGACAUUCAAGCCCGAGUUCUAGGCAGAUGGGCAGCAGGACGGAGUGCCUGGACGUUCUUGUGGACACGGUAUUCAGAGCCUCUAUUUCUCUAUGAGUAAAUGGGGCCCACGUGGCCUCUGUCUGCAAGGUGCUAUGAAGUUGGAUUAAGCAUGAGAGGCCCCAGGCAGGGCCCAUAGCAGGUGAGGAAGGGGACAUUCAGAGUGGUUAAGUAACUGAUCCAAAGUCACACAGCUUGGACGCAUCCUGGCUAGGAUUCAUGAGCUGAAUCAGGACUCCUGCUCUUGGCCUUCGACCCUGCUGCCUGCUCCCAGCACCUGGCCCUGCAGUCCUGAACUGACCAGGCCACGGCAGCCGCCGUCAGGUGGGGAGAAGACCAUGAAACGGAAAUCGCUCCAGGCCCGACCAGACCUGCCCCACUGGGACCCAAACCAGACUCGGCCUGUGGUUGAGGAACAUGACGAUGCUGGAUGCCCGAGUCACACCAGGUCUCCCCUCCACCAGCCACGUGUCCUGGAGGGGUGACGCAUACCCGUGCCUCGGGUUCCCCACUUGUGAGGGGAGAUGAUGGGGUUUCGGGAGGACUGGUGGCGUGGCCCAGGCAGAGUGCCUACAACCAGGCCAGGAACUCAGUAGGUGUCUAAUAAAUGCAGGCUGCUGCUGCUGCUGUU